UUAGUAUGAAUAGGUGUUUUAUAUUGUGUUGCAUACAUGUCUUUGUAAUCCACCCUUUUGGGUACUUGCUGUGAUGAGUUUAUAAUGCAAUAUGAAUAAAAUUGCUUAUCUGUCAUUACAGAAAAUGUCUAAACAAAACUCCAAAAGCCACAAGGCUAUGGAUGAUAACGAGUGGUUCUCUAGACUGAGGUCUUUUGCCUCCACUGGUGUCUGGCCAUCAGAUGCAGGUAACCGACCUGCCCCAAGGCAACAGAAGUGGUACACUCUGUAUCAGAAGAUAGAGAAGUGCCCACUACUGCUGAGAGGCCAGCGGACACUUUUCUCCCAGCCACAAGGGUGUUUGUGUGGGUUUCAUCUUCCUAAGGUCUGUUCCACAGCAGAGGAAAAGGAUUAGCAGGUGCCUACAGCCUCAUCUAGACCUACAAGCAGUGCAGCUCAAUCAACUAAC
Molecule: long non-coding RNA, 448 nt
Organism: Girardinichthys multiradiatus
Lineage: Eukaryota; Metazoa; Chordata; Actinopteri; Cyprinodontiformes; Goodeidae
Exons: 4
Source: RefSeq, a predicted model, not a curated record